This 780-nucleotide ribosomal RNA is filed under the name Methanosarcinales archaeon. Its description in RNAcentral is "bacterial SSU rRNA". It matches the Rfam family "Archaeal small subunit ribosomal RNA", at positions 697 to 1478 of the family's 1478-position model. Lineage: Archaea; Methanobacteriati; Methanobacteriota; Methanomicrobia; Methanosarcinales. The record is from RNAcentral.
GUGAGGGACGAAAGCUAGGGGAGCAAAACGGAUUAGAUACCCGCGUAGUCCUAGCUGUAAACACUGCGAACUAUGUGUUGCGUAUCUUUCGUGGAUAUGCAGUGCCGUAGCGAAGGCGUUAAGUUCGCCGCCUGGGAAGUACGGUCGCAAGGCUGAAACUUAAAGGAAUUGGCGGGGACGCGCUACCAGGGGUGGAACGUGCGGUUCAAUCAGAUUCUACACCGUGAACCUCACCAGGAACGACGGCAGGAUGAAGGUCAGAUUGAAGGUCUUACCUAACAAGCCGAGAGGAGGUGCAUGGCCGCCGUCAGCUCGUGCCGUAAGGUGUCCAGUUAAGUCUGGCAACGAGCAAGACCUACAUCUACAUUUGCAAGCGACUCCUCCGGGAGGAUCGCGCACAAUGUAGAGACUGCCUUGGAAACAAGGAGGAAGGUGUAGGCAACGGUAGGUGGUAUGCCCUGAAUUUCCUGGGCUACACGCGCGUUACAAUGCUAGGGUCAAUGGGAUACAACCCCGAGAGGGGAAGUUAAACCUCGAAACCCUAUCUUAAUGCGGAUUGAGGGUUGCAAUUCACCCUCAUGAAGCCGGAAUCCCUAGUAAUUGGACGUCAUCAGCGUCCAGUGAAUAAGUCAACGUGUCUUGCACACACUGCCCGUCAUUCCAGCCGAGCAGGGUUUAAGUGAGGAUUAGGCGUUGCCUAGUUCGAACUUAAGCUCAGCAAGGAGGGACAAGUCGUCACAAGGUAGCCGUAGGGGAACCUGCGGCUGGAUCACCUCCUAU